This 365-nucleotide ribosomal RNA is filed under the name uncultured bacterium. RNAcentral describes it as "partial 16S ribosomal RNA". It matches the Rfam family "Bacterial small subunit ribosomal RNA", at positions 338 to 700 of the family's 1533-position model. The record is from RNAcentral.
CCUACGGGAGGCAGCAGUGAGGAAUAGUGGUCAAUGGACGAGAGUCUGAACCAGCCAAGUAGCGUGAAGGAUGACGGCCCUAGGGGUUGUAAACUUCUGUUAUAGGGGAAUAAAAUGUUCCACGUGUGGGAUUUUGUAUGUACCAUAUGAAUAAGGAUCGGCUAACUCCGUGCCAGCAGCCGCGGUAAUACGGAGGAUCCGAGCGUUAUGCGGAUGGAGUGGGGUUAAAGGGAGCGUAGGUGGAUUGUUAAGUCAGUUGUGAAAGUGUGCGGCUCAACCGUAAAAUUGCAGUUGAAACUGGCAGUCUUGAGUACAGUAGAGGUGGGCGGAAUUCGUGGUGUAGCGGUUAACUGCUUAGAUAUCAC